This 253-nucleotide ribosomal RNA is filed under the name uncultured bacterium. RNAcentral's name for it is "partial 16S ribosomal RNA". It matches the Rfam family "Bacterial small subunit ribosomal RNA", at positions 524 to 776 of the family's 1533-position model. The record is from RNAcentral.
UACGGAGGGUGCAAGCGUUAUCCGGAUUCACUGGGUUUAAAGGGUGCGUAGGUGGGCAGGUAAGUCAGUGGUGAAAUCUCCGGGCUUAACCCGGAAACUGCCAUUGAUACUAUCUGUCUUGAAUACCGUGGAGGUGAGCGGAAUAUGUCAUGUAGCGGUGAAAUGCUUAGAUAUGACAUAGAACACCAAUUGCGAAGGCAGCUCACUACGCGAAUAUUGACACUGAGGCACGAAAGCGUGGGGAUCGAUCAGG